CCUACGGGAGGCAGCAGUCGAGAAUCAUUCACAAUGGGGGAAACCCUGAUGCAGCGACGCCGCGUGAGUGAAGAAGUAAUUCGUUAUGUAAAGCUCUAUCAGCAGGGAAGAAAAUGACGGUACCUGAGUAAGAAGCCCCGGCUAACUACGUGCCAGCAGCCGCGGUAAUACGUAGGGGGCCAGCGUUAUCAGGAUUUACUGGGUGUAAAGGGAGCGUAGACGGCAGUGCAAGUCUGGAGUGAAAGGCUGGGGCUCAACCCCCGGACUGCUCUGGAAACGGUACGGCUGGAGUGCAGGAGAGGUAAGUGGAAUUCCUAGUGUAGCGGUGAAAUGCGUAGAUAUUAGGAGGAACACCAGUGGCGAAGGCGGCUUACUGGACUGUAACUGACGUUGAGGCUCGAAAGCGUGGGGAGCAAACAGGAUUAGAUACCCCAGUAGUC
Molecule: ribosomal RNA, 440 nt
Filed under: uncultured bacterium
Lineage: Bacteria
Description: partial 16S ribosomal RNA
Rfam family: Bacterial small subunit ribosomal RNA
Source: RNAcentral